AACGAACGCUGGCGGCAUGCCUAACACAUGCAAGUCGAACGAUGCUUUCGGGCAUAGUGGCGCACGGGUGCGUAACGCGUGGGAAUCUGCCCUUAGGUUCGGAAUAACAGUUAGAAAUGACUGCUAAUACCGGAUGAUGUCGAUAAGACCAAAGAUUUAUCGCCUGAGGAUGAGCCCGCGUAGGAUUAGCUAGUUGGUGUGGUAAGAGCGCACCAAGGCGACGAUCCUUAGCUGGUCUGAGAGGAUGAUCAGCCACACUGGGACUGAGACACGGCCCAGACUCCUACGGGAGGCAGCAGUGGGGAAUAUUGGACAAUGGGCGCAAGCUUGAUCCAGCAAUGCCGCGUGAGUGAUGAAGGCCUUAGGGUUGUAAAGCUCUUUUACCCGUGAUGAUAAUGACAGUAGCGGGAGAAUAAGCCCCGGCUAACUCCGUGCCAGCAGCCGCAGUAA
This 450-nucleotide ribosomal RNA is filed under the name uncultured bacterium. RNAcentral describes it as "partial 16S ribosomal RNA". It matches the Rfam family "Bacterial small subunit ribosomal RNA", at positions 29 to 523 of the family's 1533-position model. The record is from RNAcentral.